This 204-nucleotide long non-coding RNA is filed under the name Mytilus galloprovincialis (Mediterranean mussel). The record is from RNAcentral. Lineage: Eukaryota; Metazoa; Mollusca; Bivalvia; Mytilida; Mytilidae.
UUGGUCAUAUUAACUUAUUUGUAGAUCUUACUUUGCUGAUCAUUUUUGCUGUUUACAGUUUAUCUUUAUCUAUAAUAAUAUUCAAGAUAAUGACCAAAAACUGCAAAAUUUCCUAAAAAUUACCAAUUAAGUGGCAGCAACCCAACAAUGGUUUGUUUGAUUCAUCUGAAAAUUUCAGGGCUGAUAGAUCUUGACCUAAUGAAC